This 87-nucleotide transfer RNA is filed under the name Myxococcales bacterium. RNAcentral's name for it is "tRNA-Leu". It matches the Rfam family "tRNA". Rfam says of the family: Transfer RNA (tRNA) molecules are approximately 80 nucleotides in length. Their secondary structure includes four short double-helical elements and three loops (D, anti-codon, and T loops). Further hydrogen bonds mediate the characteristic L-shaped molecular structure. tRNAs have two regions of fundamental functional importance: the anti-codon, which is responsible for specific mRNA codon recognition, and the 3' end, to which the tRNAs corresponding amino acid is attached (by aminoacyl-tRNA synthetases). tRNAs cope with the degeneracy of the genetic code in two manners: having more than one tRNA (with a specific anti-codon) for a particular amino acid; and 'wobble' base-pairing, i.e. permitting non-standard base-pairing at the 3rd anti-codon position. RNAcentral also lists the same sequence under 1 other name. The record is from RNAcentral. Lineage: Bacteria; Pseudomonadati; Myxococcota; Myxococcia; Myxococcales.
GCGGCGGUGGUGGAAUUGGUAGACACGCCAGCUUGAGGGGCUGGUGGGGGCAACCCCGUGGAGGUUCGAAUCCUCUCCGCCGCACCA